GAAUAAAGCCAUAGCCCUUCGCCAACGACCAUACCACGUUGAAUACACCAGUUCUCGUCCGAUCACUGAAGUUUAAGCAACAUCGGGCGUAGUUAGUACUUGGAUGGGUGACCGCUUGGGAACACUACGUGCCGUUGGCAAUUUUUUUGUUUCACGUUUUUUUUUUUUCGGUAUAUUAUUAACUUCAUUUUAAUUGAAUUUUUUUUUUUUUAUCUUUUUAAGUUUUCUUUAAUUUUAGGAACACUACGUGCCGAAAGGGGACAAAAAAAACGUCCUUCAAUAUUUCCGCAUGUACUGACUUAUAUUUAUACUCAAACUUACUUGUACUUGUGUUUUAUACGACUUGGAUAAUUAUUUGGGUAAUUUAAUUUGAGUCUGCACGCAACGAUAAAUAAAAAAUGAUUCACAACAGAAUAUUGUUGAUUCCUGGUUACCACAGCUGACCCAAUAAUCAACAAAAAUUAUACACGGAAAUUUCAAGUCAUGGUCAUAGCAAAACCAAUACAUUCCCAAUCUAAUUUUAAUCAACAAUUCCGAUGCGUUAGCGUAAACUCGAAACGCGAAAAACGUUUUAAAACUAUCCCAAUGUUCAUCGGAACGAGAUACACUACACGAGUGCAAUAAAAUAAAGUCCCAACUGAUUGUAUAAUUAAAAUAUAACGUUUUUAACACCUCCUGUACAUUUUUCGGGUCCCAGUUUCAAUGAACCGAUCAACAAAAAUUAAAAUAUUAUAAAAUCAGUUAGCGUUAGCGGGACGUUUAAAUGACUUGAUAAAGUCAUAGCCCUUCGCCAACGACCAUACCACGUUGAAUACACCAGUUCUCGUCCGAUCACUGAAGUUAAGCAACGUCNGCCGU
Molecule: non-coding RNA, 858 nt
Organism: Cinara cedri
Lineage: Eukaryota; Metazoa; Arthropoda; Insecta; Hemiptera; Aphididae
Source: the annotation of a GenBank genome assembly